UUGAGGAAAUUGGGUCACUAAUAUGGAAAUUUUAAAGUAUUGAUAAUACCAACAUGACAAGUUGUCACUUUGCAGUAUGUUCUUAAACACGACUAAACCCUAAUAACCAGGUUAUUCUAGAAUAAUCAGGGUAACAGAAUGGGAAUGAAUGGCAGUUACUGUAAUUAUUCUAGAAAGAGGACCAAAGCAAACAGAAAUUCUCUCUAAUUUUAUAUAUUCCCAAUAGGUGCACAUAGUACAUCAUUAUCACUAUAGAAACUACUUAGUAGUUUCUCCAAAAAUCAGCUACGCUUCACGGUCUUAUGGGCCAAUGUCUGAGCUGCACAUGAGCCGGCACCCUCUAAUUCAAACAGAGGUAAUUCCAUAACUCUCCGGUCAACUUCUCAAGAUUUCCUGUUUGACAGCUGGGAGAAGGGAAGAUCCCCAUCACCGGUGGGGUCUUUGCUCAAUCUUGGCGACCUCCCCAAUCCCCACAGAUGGUAGGGAGAGCAUCCACACUCCCCGCCAUCCAUCGGGAAUAGAGUGGUCGCUGAGGCUGUGGAGAUGGCAAAGGGACCAGUCGGAGCUGAUGGAUGGUUGGACCUGGCAGAUUCAUAAUCCAGAACCCGAUGCAGCUGCGAGGAAACUAAUGGCUAGCAGGGACCGCGUCGGUCCCCGAGCUAAUACCUGUCUCCUCCAUCACAAAUUGAUGGCAUUAAACAAAAAAGUUGACUCUUUUUCACAUCCUGCCAAUCGAAUUUUUUUCUUUUUGGGUACCCCCUGCAGCCAUCUCAGUGUCGAGUGGCACCAAGGGCACUAAAUGCAGCCUGUGGGAUGGUUUCGGCAGCAUCUGUCAUCCAGGCAUGCCGCUGCCUUGGCUGUCUGGCGGUGGGGGGACAUUGCUGGGCAUUCAUCCCCUUUGGCUGCAUGCUGCAGGAUGGCGUUGCCCCAUGCUGAUAUUUUUUCCAGCAUUGUGUCUCUGGCUCGCCUUCCUCCCUUUGCUAAACAUAUGGUUUCACUUUCCUCUUUCUUCACGGGGAACCGGGACAGUCGAGGCAUAAACUGCUUUUACUUGUUCGUCUCGCAAAGGUUGCGCACGAGGAAGAAGGUCCAAAAAUAACAUCAGUGUGAUAAGUCAUUAGUCAUUUUUCACUGUACAUAUGUUAACUUGACCCACCGUAUGUUAAUUCAUGCAACAUUGGCCUCACAUAUGGCUGCAAUAGGAAUCCCAACUGGUACUUCCUCCUGCAUGGUGCCUCAUUACGGGCAAAACUUCCCAGAGCUUCAUCAUUAACACUUAGGUGAAGUUCGACUUCCAAAUUACUUUGUUGGCCUUAGGUCGGGAAAAGGGCAGAACGAGAAUGAGAAAUAGAGUCUAAAUAUGUCAAUCAAAUCCCUUGCUGCAAUCAGAGAUAAUCUAGAUUAGAAUGCUCCACAUUAUAAACAUUUUCUUUGGCAUUUUCUGUAUCAGCUCCCUUAUAAAUACUCUGUUUUCCAGAUGGGAGCACUGGAUACACACCCGAUCUGUGCUCUGCAGCCAUCGUGUGCACGGGAAUGCCACCAGCUAAAGGAAAAGCAGAGGAGGUGUGAGAAGGACAUGCUCGGCUGCUCCUCACAGGGACCCCAAAGACCCUCCUUGGCCAAGGGGAUGCAGCAGGAAUAUAGAGGGAUGCUCCAGCCUGGGUCUCUCUGCACCGGUCCCAGCAGUGAUGCUUCUGUGGCUGAUACACUGCAGCGAUGCUGCCUUCUUGGAGAAAUUCUUGCAAAGCAGUUAAAGCUCUGGCAACCGCCGGCGUUCGUGGAUACCUACAGCUAAAACCCAGCACAACAAACCCCAGCCAAGGCAAUGUUUUGAAACCAAACAGGCCAGAGUUUGUAACUGCCCAAUCUGCUUAUGCUGGUGGGCAGGAGCAGUUAACCUAACGAUCGGUACAGCAGUUAUGUGAUUACAGAGGCAAUGCGGAGACGAGGGGGUAGGAUCCGAGGUCUGUGUUGCUACCUUGCAAAUCUGCUCUCUCCUCCCAGCCCUGAACAUCCAGCACUGCACAUCCAGCACUGCAUGUUGAAUUUCAAGGUGUGGCAUUUGCCUUUUGCCAUAAAUACUGGGUGAGGAAAGAGCCCUGAAGUCUACAGCCCAGCAGGUUUUUUCUUUUCCUUCCUGUAGAGAACAUUGAUGUUUGAUGGUGGGGAGGGCUUUUAGUAGGCAAAACACACGAUUUUUUAAGCAGAAAAUGUACAUUAACAAUAUUUUCUCCUGCAGCCAUACAUUUUUUUUUUCAAACUCAAGCCUCAGCCAUCGGCCUGUAAAUUCUAAUUGUUAUUAAUUUAAAGCAAUUAAAAAUUGUGGCUUUC
Long non-coding RNA from Neopsephotus bourkii (Bourke's parrot), 2331 nucleotides. RefSeq lists it as uncharacterized. NCBI's taxonomy places the organism in Eukaryota, Metazoa, Chordata, Aves, Psittaciformes, Psittacidae. The record is from RefSeq and is a predicted model, not a curated record. The transcript has 2 exons.